AGAGUUUGAUCCUGGCUCAGGAUGAACGCUGGCGGCGUGCUUAACACAUGCAAGUCGAACGGGGGCGAGGAGGAAACCUAGUGAAUCCUGCCCUAGUGGCGGACGGGUGAGUAACGCGUGGGCAACCUGCCGCAUACCGGGGGAUAACACUUAGAAAUAGGUGCUAAUACCGCAUAAGCGCACAGAGCCGCAUGGCUUGGUGUGAAAAACUCCGGUGGUAUGCGAUGGGCCCGCGUCUGAUUAGCUUGUUGGCGGGGGCAGCGGCCCACCAAGGCGACGAUCAGUAGCCGGCCUGAGAGGGUGGACGGCCACAUUGGGACUGAGACACGGCCCAGACUCCUACGGGAGGCAGCAGUGGGGAAUAUUGCACAAUGGGGGGGACCCUGAUGCGGCGACGCCGCGUGAGUGAAGAAGUAUUUCGGUAUGUAAAGCUCUAUCAGCAGGGAAGAAAAUGACGGUACCUGACUAAGAAGCCCCGGCUAACUACGUG
This 490-nucleotide ribosomal RNA is filed under the name uncultured Lachnospiraceae bacterium. RNAcentral describes it as "bacterial SSU rRNA". It matches the Rfam family "Bacterial small subunit ribosomal RNA", at positions 8 to 507 of the family's 1533-position model. The record is from RNAcentral. Lineage: Bacteria; Bacillati; Bacillota; Clostridia; Lachnospirales; Lachnospiraceae.